Molecule: ribosomal RNA, 429 nt
Filed under: Gemmatimonadota bacterium
Lineage: Bacteria; Pseudomonadati; Gemmatimonadota
Description: Gemmatimonadetes bacterium partial 16S ribosomal RNA
Rfam family: Bacterial small subunit ribosomal RNA
Source: RNAcentral
UAGGGAAUCUUCGGCAAUGGACGAAAGUCUGACCGAGCAACGCCGCGUGAGUGAAGAAGGUUUUCGGAUCGUAAAACUCUGUUGUUAGAGAAGAACAAGGACGUUAGUAACUGAACGUCCCCUGACGGUAUCUAACCAGAAAGCCACGGCUAACUACGUGCCAGCAGCCGCGGUAAUACGUAGGUGGCAAGCGUUGUCCGGAUUUAUUGGGCGUAAAGCGAGCGCAGGCGGUUUCUUAAGUCUGAUGUGAAAGCCCCCGGCUCAACCGGGGAGGGUCAUUGGAAACUGGGAGACUUGAGUGCAGAAGAGGAGAGUGGAAUUCCAGGUGUAGCGGUGAACUGCGUAGAUAUAUGGAGGAACACCAGUGGCGAAGGCGGCUCUCUGGUCUGUAACUGACGCUGAGGCUCGAAAGCGUGGGGAGCAAACAGG